GCAAACUUGGUCAUUUAGAGGAAGUAAAAGUCGUAACAAGGUAUCCGUAGGUGAACCUGCGGAUGGAUCAUUCCCAUGUUGUCCAUUGGACACAACUGUCAUGUGCAAUGUUGCUGUGUGUAUGUAUAUGCAUGCAUGAUUGUACUGUGGUGUCAUUGCCAUUGUACAUCAUCAUCAUCAUAUCAUCCUUUUUAUUUACUCUUGUAUUCUACUAUAUCUCUGAACACAAUCAUUAAAACCGAAAAACUGCCAGCAAUGGAUCCCUCGGUUCUCGCAUCGAUGAAGAACGCAGC
This 293-nucleotide unclassified non-coding RNA is filed under the name uncultured fungus. Its description in RNAcentral is "partial contains small subunit ribosomal RNA, internal transcribed spacer 1, and 5.8S ribosomal RNA". The stretch from base 1 to 73 matches the Rfam family "Eukaryotic small subunit ribosomal RNA", at positions 1759 to 1831 of the family's 1831-position model. The record is from RNAcentral. Lineage: Eukaryota; Fungi.